This 26-nucleotide non-coding RNA is filed under the name Mus musculus (house mouse). Lineage: Eukaryota; Metazoa; Chordata; Mammalia; Rodentia; Muridae. The record is from RNAcentral.
UAUGAAGCGGUCUCUAGGAAAUGGGC